UACAAGGCUAUGUAGGAGCAGUUCUUGAGUAACUACAGCCCAUGGGAAGCUCAUACCAGAUCAGUUUGGGAAAGAUGACAUCACAUGGGAGGGACUCUAUGCUGAAGCAGGAGAAGAGAGAAACCACGAAGUAAAGUCAGAGACAAAGCACUAAGGACUGACUGAAGCUUCCAUUCCCUGUUGUUCUGCACAGCUCAGUGCAAGAAGAUAGAAGAAAGUGGAUAGGUGCAGUAUUCACAUUACUGUAGACAGACCUUCCUUCCUGAGAUUGUUCUACCAAAAGCUCUUGGCAUCUUCUACAGGCAUAUAGGACUGGACAUAGCUCUAGAAAACUGUGUUUUGACAAGCCUGGGUCAAUAUGUUUAUACUUGGGAACUCUGUUCUACUGCUGAGAACAAGUUAUUCUUUUUGUGGUAAGACCAUCUGGACAUCCAUCAUUGUGUCAGCCCUUGGCUCUACUCAGCUGCUGAGUAUGUUCUUGCCUUCUUCAGUAGAGUGAGCUGACCUAUUCUAACACAGUUUCAAGGAAUCCAUCAGCUACUAUAUUUGUUGUAUUAUAAAUGGUGUUUGCAAAUGUUUGUUGUUUUUUGUUUGUUUGUUCGUUUGUUUUGUUCUAUUUUUUUGUUAUUGAUGUUGUUCUUUUUUAAAUGAAUAUCUGAGUCUUCACUAGCUGAAUAGAUAGACAUUGAUUGCUUUUGCUACAUACAGCAGCAAGUUCUUCCUACUUUUGUGUAUUUUUCCAUAUCUUUUAUUAUCCAUUCAUAAUCUUCUUUAUUGUCACACUGACUUAACAAGAUGGGUUCAUAAUAAAGGCUUCUGCUUACUCAGAAACCUUUCUGAUUAUUUCCGUCUACUGAAGUCAGUCAGUUUUACCGAUGAUUUCAACAAGAGUAGAAUACCUCUGUGCACUAUUUACUAUUUUUUGCUUGCUUUGAAUUAAAAAGAUCUACAGAAGUGAUAAAAGUGUUAAAAUUAUAAAAUUGCUUUCUUACCUGGUACUGCUUUGAGGAAA
Molecule: long non-coding RNA, 1012 nt
Organism: Gallus gallus (chicken)
Lineage: Eukaryota; Metazoa; Chordata; Aves; Galliformes; Phasianidae
Source: Ensembl